AACGAACGCUGGCGGCAGGCUUAACACAUGCAAGUCGAGCGAGACCUUCGGGUUUAGCGGCGGACGGGUGAGUAACGCGUGGGAACGUGCCCUUUACUACGGAAUAGCCCAGGGAAACUUGGAUUAAUACCGUAUACGCCCUUCGGGGGAAAGAAUUUCGGUGAAGGAUCGGCCCGCGUUGGAUUAGGUAGUUGGUGGGGUAAUGGCCUACCAAGCCGACGAUCCAUAGCUGGUUUGAGAGGAUGAUCAGCCACACUGGGACUGAGACACGGCCCAGACUCCUACGGGAGGCAGCAGUGGGGAAUCUUAGACAAUGGGGGCAACCCUGAUCUAGCCAUGCCGCGUGAGUGAUGAAGGCCUUAGGGUUGUAAAGCUCUUUCAGCUGGGAAGAAGGUAGAUACGGUGAAUAAUCGUGUUUGCUGACGGUACCUCGAGAAUAAGCACCGGCUAAUUUCGUGCCAGCAGCCGCAGUAACAC
RNAcentral lists this ribosomal RNA (477 nucleotides) under uncultured bacterium. RNAcentral's name for it is "bacterial SSU rRNA". It matches the Rfam family "Bacterial small subunit ribosomal RNA", at positions 29 to 526 of the family's 1533-position model. The record is from RNAcentral.